Long non-coding RNA from Melospiza melodia melodia, 1781 nucleotides. RefSeq lists it as uncharacterized. The record is from RefSeq and is a predicted model, not a curated record. NCBI's taxonomy places the organism in Eukaryota, Metazoa, Chordata, Aves, Passeriformes, Passerellidae. The transcript has 4 exons.
AGCCACAGGAUUCACUUAGACAUGUGCAAGCAACUUGUUCUUUUUGUUAAUAUUUUACAGAUUGCCACUGAAUAUGAGUUAGAAGACCAGCAGAGUUCAGCCCUUUCAGGAGAUGCCUUUCCAGCUCACUGGAGGAACAACAGCCCUGGUGUAAUUCCAGGAAGGAAGCAGAACUCCUGGAGUCAGCACGGCAGGCAUUUUCUUGAGGUGGCUGCUAACAAGUGGCUACUCAGGAAAGGAAGAAUUUUCUUCUCAUUGCUCUCAAAGGAUGCUAAGACACUUCCUGAGAAAUCCUUCUGGGGGUUGUGCUGAGAGGGAUAGUACCCACAAAUGAGGUGGGAGUGGAAGAGAAGUGUUUCAGUCCAUUCUCCCAUACCUGGGAAGAUACAGACAGCAAGGACUGGGAUUUGGGAGAGGACGUGCCUUGCUGUUCACCAUGCAUUCUAGCAGGGGCAAUGGAGAGUCCCUUUCAGCUGCAGCAUCCUGUGGCCUUCAGACAACUGAAAUAUCAGUUAUGGAACAGCAAUAGGCAGGAGUCAAAGUAUGUGGAGCUAUUUCUAUGGCUGAAGAGAAGACAGCUGGUCAGCCACAAAUAUCAUUCUUACAAGUGCAACUCCAAUAGCCACGUUAUGAAUUAAAAACAGAAGAAUGCAGCUAUCACAUGAGGAACACUCAGCUGCCCCCUGCUGAACCAGGAGCAGGAGCUGUGCACUCUGGGGAAGAUAAGAUCUAAUCCUCAGCUACCUCUGUCCCCCUGAUCCUGUCAUACUGAUCCAUUACUCAGCCCCAGACAACAUGUACACACAGGCCAUGAAAAAUGUCUGUGAUAAAUAAAAUAGGCACUCCUUGAGAGCAUCUAAUUUUGAAGGCAGGCUGUCACUUUGAACUGCUAAGCACUUGAGGAAAGCUCCUUUGUGCAGGUUGCAGGAACUGUAAGGAAUUCCAUAUGCUGUGUAGACAUCCCUGGUAGCCAGAGACAAGUGCCUGUUUUCAGCCUUUCCAGGGACACCGCUCUGGUAGCUGUCAUGAUGAAUUCUGAUCCUUUCCUGGUCCUGCCUGUGAGAGGGAGCUGCAGUAGCUCUGGGGGGAGCCUUAAGCCCUUACAAGGAGUGUGGGAGUUUCAAGAAUUUUCUUCCUCUUCUUAUCCCCACUGAAGGCAACUCAGAGUUCAUCCUGUCUGAAUUCACAGUCUGGGGAGAAUGUGCUUUACUGUAGGUGGCUCUGAACUCAGGUUACCUUUAUUACACUGAUGGCAAUUACAGAACGGGCAUUGGAAUAGACUGAUGUUCAGUGAGCAGUAAUGCUGGCCUGCUUGCAAGUUUGCAUGAGGCAUCUCUGCUCUAAGAAACUCAAAGCAUUUUCAAAAACUGAAAUUCCCUCUCACUAUUUUGCAAAGGCAGAAACUGAGACCCUGAGAGCUGUGACUUCCCCCACUCAUCUAGUGAGGUGAUAACAGCUACAGAAAUAGAAUUCAUGACUUCCAGACCCUCUCCUCCUCCUGACCACUAACACAUUUUGCCACCCAAGAAGACCAUUUGCCAUGUCAUCAUCAAGGCGUAUCUGGGUAGCACAGUUUCUCCAUCUAUACAGCCUUUGUUUUAUGUAAGCCUCACUUCCCUAUCUGUAGGGAAUAACAACACUUCACUGCUUCAAAGGGGUGCAGGGAAUAACUGAACUCAAGGCUCUGCAGUAUGCAUAUAUGGUAGUGGACACCUUGCAAGUAUUAAUACUUACAUUUGGAGACUGUACUAUUAAUUCUGUGCCUGACUGCUGCUGUUCAA